Molecule: microRNA precursor, 176 nt
Organism: Medicago truncatula (barrel medic)
Lineage: Eukaryota; Viridiplantae; Streptophyta; Magnoliopsida; Fabales; Fabaceae
Rfam family: MIR2619 microRNA precursor family
Source: Rfam
AAACAGCCCUGUAUGUAUUGGAUCUUUGGCAGUUUUGGCCCCCAAAACCACUUUUGACUUAGUCUUCCCUGACGUGGCACCCACAAUGGUCGACACGUGGCACCUCAGCGAAGACUAAGUCAAAAGUGGCAUUAGGGGCCAAAACUGCCAAAGAUCCAAUGCAUAGGGGGCUGAUU